Molecule: ribosomal RNA, 497 nt
Filed under: uncultured bacterium
Lineage: Bacteria
Description: partial 16S ribosomal RNA
Rfam family: Bacterial small subunit ribosomal RNA
Source: RNAcentral
GAUGAACGCUGGCGGCGUGCCUAAUACAUGCAAGUUGAGCGAACGGACGAGAAGCUUGCUUUUCUGAUGUUAGCGGCGGACGGGUGAGUAACACGUGGAUAACCUACCUAUAAGCCUGGGAUAACUUCGGGAAACCGGAGCUAAUACCGGCUAAUAUUUUGAACCGCAUGGUUCAAAAGUGAAAGACGGUCUUGCUGUCACUUAUAGAUGGAUCCGCGCCGCAUUAGCUAGUUGGUAAGGUAACGGCUUACCAAGGCAACGAUGCAUAGCCGACCUGAGAGGGUGAUCGGCCACACCGGAACUGAGACACGGUCCAGACUCCUACGGGAGGCAGCAGUAGGGAAUCUUCCGCAAUGGGCGAAAGCCUGACGGAGCAACGCCGCGUGAGUGAUGAAGGUCUUCGGAUCGUAAAACUCUGUUAUUAGGGAAGAACAUAUGUGUAAGUAACUGUGCACAUCUUGACGGUACCUAAUCAGAAAGCCACGGCUAACUACGUG